This 692-nucleotide ribosomal RNA is filed under the name Pseudarthrobacter sp. RNAcentral describes it as "bacterial SSU rRNA". It matches the Rfam family "Bacterial small subunit ribosomal RNA", at positions 87 to 793 of the family's 1533-position model. Lineage: Bacteria; Bacillati; Actinomycetota; Actinomycetes; Micrococcales; Micrococcaceae. The record is from RNAcentral.
GGGGAUUAGUGGCGAACGGGUGAGUAACACGUGAGUAACCUGCCCUUGACUCUGGGAUAAGCCUGGGAAACUGGGUCUAAUACCGGAUAUGACCUUCCAUCGCAUGGUGGUUGGUGGAAAGCUUUUGUGGUUUUGGAUGGACUCGCGGCCUAUCAGCUUGUUGGUGGGGUAAUGGCCUACCAAGGCGACGACGGGUAGCCGGCCUGAGAGGGUGACCGGCCACACUGGGACUGAGACACGGCCCAGACUCCUACGGGAGGCAGCAGUGGGGAAUAUUGCACAAUGGGCGCAAGCCUGAUGCAGCGACGCCGCGUGAGGGAUGACGGCCUUCGGGUUGUAAACCUCUUUCAGUAGGGAAGAAGCGAAAGUGACGGUACCUGCAGAAGAAGCGCCGGCUAACUACGUGCCAGCAGCCGCGGUAAUACGUAGGGCGCAAGCGUUAUCCGGAAUUAUUGGGCGUAAAGAGCUCGUAGGCGGUUUGUCGCGUCUGCCGUGAAAGUCCGGGGCUCAACUCCGGAUCUGCGGUGGGUACGGGCAGACUAGAGUGAUGUAGGGGAGACUGGAAUUCCUGGUGUAGCGGUGAAAUGCGCAGAUAUCAGGAGGAACACCGAUGGCGAAGGCAGGUCUCUGGGCAUUAACUGACGCUGAGGAGCGAAAGCAUGGGGAGCGAACAGGAUUAGAUACCCUGGUAG